This is a long non-coding RNA of Hydra vulgaris (swiftwater hydra), 248 nucleotides long. RefSeq lists it as uncharacterized. NCBI's taxonomy places the organism in Eukaryota, Metazoa, Cnidaria, Hydrozoa, Anthoathecata, Hydridae. The record is from RefSeq and is a predicted model, not a curated record.
ACUGGAUUGCUAGGCACAAAGCAAAAAGCCAAAAAUCAGAUGUGGAUUUUAGUGUUAAACAAAAAAGAAAAAAAGUGUCUAUAAAUACUCAGGUGCUAAGGGGGUUCGAUUUAUGGAAACAAAACCAGUUAUUGUCAUUGGAAGAUUCAGAUUUUGAUAACAGAAAUUUUUGUUUCAAAAAUCUUGGUCAUAACUGGUCGUUGUUAACAAACAAUGAAAAAGAAAGCUGGAACAAGAAAGCUUUAUUA